RNAcentral lists this long non-coding RNA (1546 nucleotides) under Sus scrofa (pig). Its description in RNAcentral is "lncRNA (ENSSSCG00015002434.1)". The record is from RNAcentral. Lineage: Eukaryota; Metazoa; Chordata; Mammalia; Artiodactyla; Suidae.
GAUCCCUUCAGCAUACUUUCCAGCAGCAUCACCUGCACAGACCAGUGUGGGCAGUUUGCCUAUGAAUUCCAAGACGUAUUGUCAGCUUGAUGCUUUGGGGAAGGGGGGGUGCAUACUAAAAUGCCUUGAAAGUAUUUCUAAUCACUUCUCAGAAAAGGUGGUUUUCUCUGAGGCCCUCCUACCCCCUUGCACACACCUUAUAAGUAGUAAUUGUUUCUGGAUAUUUUGACCAAUAGUGAAAUAUUCUGAAAAAGGUGGGAUAACUUCCAAGACUUGAGGAUUUUUUUUAAAGAGGCAAAAAUAUGAUCUUUGCAACUGACAAAAUAAUGUGUCCCUGUUCCUGGGAUGCAUUUUUAUCUAGUAUAGGUACCGUAAUCUCUGUGUGUAUGUGGCUAAGGAUUCUGUGGAGAUUUUAGUGCCAAAAUUAACUUUGGAAGUAGUUUGUCAGUGAAAAAGAAAUUAAAAAGUAACUUACUAUUUCUUGUCUGGUUUAAUUUGUCUCCUCUCCUUUCUCCUUUCCUUCUCUUUCUGUUCUUCCGGUGUGCUCAGUGCCUUUUCCCCCCCUCUCUUUCCGCAGUUUUGGGGACAAGUUCCCUUUAGAGUGAUUUUCCUCCCUAGAUUGAAUUUUGAGUUCCAGACGCAUUUUGCUUCCUUCGUUUUUCUGUUCAAAGUAUACUUCUUGCAUUUCCAUGGCCUCACUCUUCAAUCUGGAUCUUUCUCUACUCCUUUGCCUCUCCAGCUUUCUCACUACCAUUCCCCCAGCUCAAUUAACCUCACCGGCCCUGGUUCUCGGAAAGAUUGCCUUCCAUUUUUUGCUUAGCUUCAGCCUCCGUAUCCAUUUACUCCACUUCCACCUUCGUAUCAUCACCCGCCACCCCUCCCACCCGAUCGCCAAGUCCGUCUCCUGGGCUCAGGGGGCCAGUUGCGCGCCCAAGGUCUGAUCCUUUCUUCUUUAGUACUCCCAACUAGCUUUCCCCCGCCCCCGGCCGCCCCACUUCUAUCCCCCCCCCACCCCCCAGCCUCCACCUUUUUCCAAAUCCUUUCUGGCCUCUUCCCAUCCACCCGGCUUCCUCCAGCUGCGUGGUCCAGCAUCUACGUCUCUGCCUUUCCCUGGCUCCGCAGCCAGCCUGGGCAUCGAUCCUGGGCUUUUCGGCACUAUCCUCCAGCCACACCUCUCGGGGUGCUGCUUGCUGCCUCCCAGGCUCCGCUUCGUGAGUCAGGGUAGGAUCGAAACAGCGCGGGUGCAGCCCGGGUCCUCCAGCGUGGGCUGCAGGCGAGCGCGCCAGCGUGCAGGAUGCUGGACCUUGAGCCGCUCAGAGAGGAGGGGUUUGGCGGUGGCUGUGUUCCGGAGCAGAGGCCCUGGUCUGCCUCUGGGCCCCAGUCGCCCUUGUUCUCCACGCCCCGGGUCAGGAGGGAAGGAGAGGGGCCUCUGGUCCCCCUGCAGGUGGGCAAGAAAACCGCUCCGCAGAUGCUGCGCGCUGGUGUUUCUUUCUCGCGUGUCCUGAGCCUGGAGCUGCCAACACCAGAGUCCGAGGCUCCAGUGCAG